Molecule: long non-coding RNA, 1078 nt
Organism: Cucumis melo (muskmelon)
Lineage: Eukaryota; Viridiplantae; Streptophyta; Magnoliopsida; Cucurbitales; Cucurbitaceae
Exons: 4
Source: RefSeq, a predicted model, not a curated record
AAAAAAACCAUGAGGGUCAGUAAUCCCAUCCUAUCCCCCCAAUUGGAGAUAACUUGAUCAUUAACAGGUUUCUUUAUUUUCUAUCUUAAUUUUUUAUGGUUGUUCGCAUAGGGAGUCUUGGACAUCACCACCACAGAGGUCGCAGACUACUUAAUUGGAGGUGUCAUGACUUGAAGUGGAUAUUUUUAUGGUUCUCUUCCCUUGAACAAUAUUUUAAAUCUCUAUGUUUCUCUCAUCUCACAGGGUUCUCCUUUUUGCAAACUUGUUCGUGAAGUGCUUGUAGAGUUGGAGUUACCACAUUUAGUACGUUGGCUUUAAGGAAUUGUAUUAAGUUUUUUAUGAGAUUCUGGAUUUUCAUUUCCACUCUGUUUGGGAUUUUUGGAUGCUGUCGAUUGGGUUUGCGGGAUUGUUAGCUACUGGCUUUGCAGAUUUGGAGGAAUAUAUAUUGAAGCUGGUGAUGGAGCUGGCCCUGACACUGUGGAGAGUGGCCAAAGUGUACCUGUUGCUGCUGGUGCCGGAGAUACCAACAUUUGUGGUGGUAUUGUUCAGUUGUAUUGGGAAAGGAUUCUGGGACGAAGCUUAGAUUUAAAUGGCCAAGUUCGUCAAAUUGCCCUCAAGGCCAUAGUAAGCUUGUGGGUUGGUGCUGUGAUUAGUAGUUGGUGCAAUUUCAUAACUGUCUUGUAUGUUGGUCAUUUUCUACUAGAGGAGGAUGAUAAGUUUCUAGAUAAGGUUUGAGCUACAGUUUAGGAAGAGGAAUGUCAAGCCCUUGCUGCAUUUGGUGCCUGUUUCCAAUAUUAAUAAUUGUUUGAAGAAGCAUUUUCGAGACCUUUAAAAUGUCGUUCAUCUUUGAAUUUAUAUAAUUCUGUUUGGUUGCAGUUAAUUUUACAAGCGUGCUUUCAUUGUUGGUGGAAUCAGACUUGAAUAAUAUGGGAUUUAUGUGCUUUAAGAUAUGAAUGGGAUUUAUUGUUGCUUUAAGAUAUGAAUGGGAUUUAUGUGCAAGUGCUAAUAGCAUUUUCAUUGUUGGUGGAAUCAGACUUGAAUAAUAUGGUUUCCUACGUAAUGUGACUUGUAGUUUCAA